RNAcentral lists this ribosomal RNA (201 nucleotides) under uncultured Actinomycetes bacterium. Its description in RNAcentral is "uncultured actinobacterium partial 16S ribosomal RNA". It matches the Rfam family "Bacterial small subunit ribosomal RNA", at positions 335 to 524 of the family's 1533-position model. The record is from RNAcentral. Lineage: Bacteria; Bacillati; Actinomycetota; Actinomycetes.
ACUCCUACGGGAGGCAGCAGCGAGGGAAUCGUUCGCAAUGGGGCGCAAGCCUGACCCACGCAACGCCGCGUGAGGGAAUGAAGGUCUUCGGGUUGUAAACUCUUUCAGGAGGGGACGAAGCGGCUCCAACCUAUAGCCCAGGAGGGUGACGGUACCUCCAGAAGAAGCCCCGGCUAACUACGUGCCAGCAGCCGCGGUAAU